CCUACGGGGGGCUGCAGUGGGGAAUUUUGGACAAUGGGCGCAAGCCUGAUCCAGCAAUGCCGCGUGCAGGAAGAAGGCCUUCGGGUUGUAAACUGCUUUUGUACGGAACGAAACGGUUCGGGUUAAUACCCUGGGCUAAUGACGGUACCGUAAGAAUAAGCACCGGCCAACUACGUGCCAGCAGCCGCGGUAAUACGUAGGGUGCAAGCGUUAAUCGGAAUUACUGGGCGUAAAGCUUGCGCAGGCGGUUGAAAUCCCCGGGCUCAACCUGGGAAUUGCGCUUGUGACUGCAAAGCUGGAGUGCGGCAGAGGGGGAUGGAAUUCCGCGUGUAGCAGUGAAAUGCGUAGAUAUGCGGAGGAACACCGAUGGCGAAGGCAAUCCCCUGGGCCUGCACUGACGCUCAUGCACGAAAGCGUGGGGAGCAAACAGGAUUAGAUACCCCGGUAGUC
Molecule: ribosomal RNA, 450 nt
Filed under: uncultured bacterium
Lineage: Bacteria
Description: partial 16S ribosomal RNA
Rfam family: Bacterial small subunit ribosomal RNA
Source: RNAcentral